RNAcentral lists this unclassified non-coding RNA (346 nucleotides) under soil metagenome. Its description in RNAcentral is "partial contains 5.8S ribosomal RNA, internal transcribed spacer 2, and large subunit ribosomal RNA". The stretch from base 1 to 119 matches the Rfam family "5.8S ribosomal RNA", at positions 35 to 154 of the family's 154-position model. The record is from RNAcentral.
GAUGAAGAAAGUAGCGAAAUGCGAUACGUAAUGUGAAUUGCAAAUUCAGUGAAUCAUCGAGUCUUUGAACGCACAUUGCGCCCCCUGGUAUUCCGGGGGGCAUGCCUGUCCGAGCGUCAUUGCUGCCCUCAAGCACGGCUUGUGUGUUGGGCCCCGUCCUCCGAUCCCGGGGGACGGGCCCGAAAGGCAGCGGCGGCACCGCGUCCGGUCCUCGAGCGUAUGGGGCUUUGUCACCCGCUCUGUAGGCCCGGCCGGCGCUUGCCGAUCAACCCAAAUUUUUUAUCCAGGUUGACCUCGGAUCAGGUAGGGAUACCCGCUGAACUUAAGCAUAUCAAUAAGCGGAGGA